UGAACGCUGGCGGCGUGCCUAAUACAUGCAAGUCGAGCGAACGGACGAGAAGCUUGCUUUUCUGAUGUUAGCGGCGGACGGGUGAGUAACACGUGGAUAACCUACCUAUAAGACUGGGAUAACUUCGGGAAACCGGAGCUAAUACCGGAUAAUAUUUUGAACCGCAUGGUUCAAAAGUGAAAGACGGUCUUGCUGUCACUUAUAGAUGGAUCCGCGCUGCAUUAGCUAGUUGGUAAGGUAACGGCUUACCAAGGCAACGAUGCAUAGCCGACCUGAGAGGGUGAUCGGCCACACUGGAACUGAGACACGGUCCAGACUCCUACGGGAGGCAGCAGUAGGGAAUCUUCCGCAAUGGGCGAAAGCCUGGCGGAGCAACGCCGCGUGAGUGAUGAAGGUCUUCGGAUCGUAAAACUCUGUUAUUAGGGAAGAACAUAUGUGUAAGUAACUGUGCACAUCUUGACGGUACCUAAUCAGAAAGCCACGGCUAACUACGUG
RNAcentral lists this ribosomal RNA (495 nucleotides) under uncultured bacterium. Its description in RNAcentral is "partial 16S ribosomal RNA". It matches the Rfam family "Bacterial small subunit ribosomal RNA", at positions 30 to 507 of the family's 1533-position model. The record is from RNAcentral.